Molecule: ribosomal RNA, 497 nt
Filed under: uncultured bacterium
Lineage: Bacteria
Description: partial 16S ribosomal RNA
Rfam family: Bacterial small subunit ribosomal RNA
Source: RNAcentral
GAUGAACGCUGGCGGCGUGCCUAAUACAUGCAAGUCGAGCGAACAGACGAGGAGCUUGCUCCUCUGACGUUAGCGGCGGACGGGUGAGUAACACGUGGAUAACCUACCUAUAAGACUGGGAUAACUUCGGGAAACCGGAGCUAAUACCGGAUAAUAUAUUGAACCGCAUGGUUCAAUAGUGAAAGACGGUUUUGCUGUCACUUAUAGAUGGAUCCGCGCCGCAUUAGCUAGUUGGUAAGGUAACGGCUUACCAAGGCAACGAUGCGUAGCCGACCUGAGAGGGUGAUCGGCCACACUGGAACUGAGACACGGUCCAGACUCCUACGGGAGGCAGCAGUAGGGAAUCUUCCGCGAUGGGCGAAAGCCUGACGGAGCAACGCCGCGUGAGUGAUGAAGGUCUUCGGAUCGUAAAACGCUGUUAUUAGGGAAGAACAAAUGUGUAAGUAACUAUGCACGUCUUGACGGUACCUAAUCAGAAAGCCACGGCUAACUACGUG